RNAcentral lists this ribosomal RNA (445 nucleotides) under uncultured bacterium. Its description in RNAcentral is "partial 16S ribosomal RNA". It matches the Rfam family "Bacterial small subunit ribosomal RNA", at positions 339 to 795 of the family's 1533-position model. The record is from RNAcentral.
CUACGGGGUGCUCCAGUGGGGAAUAUUGCACAAUGGGCGCAAGCCUGAUGCAGCAACGCCGCGUGGGGGACGACGGCCUUCGGGUUGUAAACCUCUUUUAGUAGGGAAGAAGCGCAAGUGACGGUACCUACAGAAAAAGCACCGGCUGAACUACGUGCCAGCAGCCGCGGUAAUACGUAGGGUGCAAGCGUUGUCCGGAAUUAUUGGGCGUAAAGAGCUCGUAGGCGGUUUGUCGCGUCUGCUGUGAAAAUCCGAGGCUCAACCUCGGACCUGCAGUGGGUACGGGCAAACUAGAGUGCGGUAGGGGAGAUUGGAAUUCCUGGUGUAGCGGUGGAAUGCGCAGAUAUCAGGAGGAACACCAAUGGCGAAGGCAGAUCUCUGGGCCGUAACUGACGCUGAGGAGCGAAAGCGUGGGGAGCGAACAGGAUUAGAUACCCCUGUAGUC